GAUGAACGCUGGCGGCGUGCCUAAUACAUGCAAGUCGAGCGAACGGACGAGAAGCUUGCUUCUCUGAUGUUAGCGGCGGACGGGUGGGUAACACGUGGAUAACCUACCUAUAAGACUGGGAUAACUUCGGGAAACCGGAGCUAAUACCGGAUAAUAUUUUGAACCGCAUGGUUCAAAAGUGAAAGACGGUCUUGCUGUCACUUAUAGAUGGAUCCGCGCUGCAUUAGCUAGUUGGUAAGGUAACGGCUUACCAAGGCAACGAUGCAUAGCCGACCGGAGAGGGGGAUCGGCGACACUGGAACUGAGACACGGUCCAGACUCCUACGGGAGGCAGCAGUAUGGAAUCUUCCACAAUGGGCGAAAGCCUGACGGAGCAACGCCGCGUGAGUGAUGAAGGUCUUCGGAUCGUAAAACUCUGUUAUUAGGGAAGAACAUAUGUGUAAGUAACUGUGCACAUCUUGACGGUACCUAAUCAGAAAGCCACGGCUAACUACGUG
RNAcentral lists this ribosomal RNA (497 nucleotides) under uncultured bacterium. Its description in RNAcentral is "partial 16S ribosomal RNA". It matches the Rfam family "Bacterial small subunit ribosomal RNA", at positions 28 to 507 of the family's 1533-position model. The record is from RNAcentral.